Molecule: transfer RNA, 74 nt
Filed under: Butyricicoccus pullicaecorum
Lineage: Bacteria; Bacillati; Bacillota; Clostridia; Eubacteriales; Butyricicoccaceae
Description: tRNA-Gly
Rfam family: tRNA
About the family: Transfer RNA (tRNA) molecules are approximately 80 nucleotides in length.
Source: RNAcentral
GCGGAUGUAGUUUAGUGGUAGAACUUCAGCUUCCCAAGCUGACCAUGCGGGUUCGAUUCCCGUCAUCCGCUCCA